Molecule: long non-coding RNA, 6363 nt
Filed under: Zea mays
Lineage: Eukaryota; Viridiplantae; Streptophyta; Magnoliopsida; Poales; Poaceae
Description: long non-coding RNA (ZMAY_LNC004562)
Source: RNAcentral
GCGAUUAAAAAACAAAACAAAGGGCUGAUAAAAAACAAAGGGAGAAAAUACCACCUUCUAGCUGGGCGAAAGAGCAGAUGCGGAGCAGAGGCGCAUCCGCGCGGAGGAGCCGAGGCGAAGAAGGCGAUGCAGGUACUUCUUCAUCCACGCCUUGCAUUUUUAUCCUCCUCCCACCUCCCGUUCGAAUCCGCGUCGGGCCACCACAUCCCAGCUCCACCUCCCCCCUCGGGCCGCCGCAUCCUAGCUGCCUCUAUUGCUUCUUCAGUGACGGUGCAUUCAGCCAUAUUGCGCAUCCUCUCACUCCGUAAGGAACCAGUUCGCUCGUCAUCUUCCUCGCGUCUGACCUCAUCUCUACCCCCACCGUCGUUCGUGCCUUCAUACUCCGUUCCCUGUGGCCGCCAUCGGGACGUGCUGCUAUUCGCUCCCGAGGUGGCCACGAGGCUCUCCGUGCCCAAGCUGCCUCUACGCACUGGCAGCACCGCCUGCUGUGCGUGCCUCCUGGUGUACCCGCCGCAGGGUCCUAGCCAUGGCAAGCCCACGAAUAGAGAAAGCCAACAACAUAUUCCGCCAUUCCUCAUUCUAUGUUCUGAUGUUUCUUCCCACAUCUUCCAUCGGCCAAUGUGACAUUUUGAAGAACAUAGCGUCGCCUUUGCUAAAGACUCCAUCCGUGCGUGCUAGCUAUUUGAUGAUACGCCUCAGCAAAAUGUGUUGUCCAGGUCGCCCUGUUGUGUUGCACUGUUGCACACGGUCAUGUUGUAUGACGCAUGCACAAUUGCAUACAUGCUUAGCCACGCCCGCACUAUACGCUGUUGAUCCUCUUCAUCCUCCACAUGCUAAUGCGGUAUUUCAAAUAUGCCAUGCUUUAUAUAUGUGCAUAUAUUGAUGCAUACACACACGCACAUAUGUAUUUUUGUGUGUGCGCAUAUGUAUGUAUGGAUACACACAUCAGAGUAAUAGGAAUGUUUAUAUGUCAAGAGGAAAGAGCUGAUUGAAUUUGUAUUUUCCGUAGUGGAGAAGGGAACGUAACAAAUGUUAACUAACUACUAUAAAUGAAACACAUAAAAGGUUAGUCAAAUAUGUACCAUAUAAACCCAAAGGAAAUGGUUGUAAUUUUUAAAAAAAAACUAUUAUGUAAAAAAUAUAAAUCUAGAAGUAAGAUUGUAACACGUACCUGUCUUCGAGCGAGGUCUUCUUUUUUUAGACUAAUCGGGAUGAAGAGUAGAACAAUAAAAUGAUAAUGUGACAGAGAGGUAAGGGUAAACAUUAGCUUUCAAUCGGUUGCAGUUAAAAAAAGUGCUAAUGUAACUGGCAAACCUUUUAAAAAGAAAUGUCAUAUUAAGCCAUAUAUGCCACCAUUUUCUCAACACAUAUAUUCAGUAUUUGUGCAACCUUUUGUACCGGUUGACCAUGAUAUUCUUCUAAUCUGAACGCCAAAGGUUGUGAAGACACCUGAAUCGACGAUUUCAUUUUAUUAGCCAUAUCAUAGGAAGGAAUUGAGGGCAAGCAAAAAACAAGCAUAUUGGGAUUAUAUGGUUACUUUCCAACAUGCUUGUUUUAUAUAUCAUCGUAUCUCUAUUUGUUUCUAUCAAAAAAAAACCAUCAACAUUAUAGUUAUAAUAGCCUUAUAUAUAGUAUCCCUCCUUUAAUAUACAUAUUUUUCAGGGGCGAACCCAACAAAAAGUUUGAGUGGGGCCCAAAACCUGAGUGGGGUCUAAAUAAAUACCUAUUUACUAAUGGACCUUUAUAGCUAUAGUGAAUAAGAUAAAAACUCCAUUAGAAUCAGAAAAUUGAGUCAGCCCAACGUGAGUCCGCCCCUGAUAUUUUUGGUAGAAUCGUACAAACUAGCGCGCGUAGGAAGCGCGUUAGACACUAGUGUUAUGUAAUAGUGGGCUGGACGAGCUGUGGUUUCGUGAGAGUAUAAGUACUUGAACAAUGUAAUAGGCUGGUAACUUUUUGAGAAGAGCAAAAUAUACGCCGCCACUCCGUCCGGCGUUCGUCUCCCCUCCCCCACGCCAUAGCCAUACCUCCCUAACACGAGGUUCCAUCACCCACAAUCACAAAAUGGAAGCUUCAAAGAAUGUCUUGACCACGUUUGGCACUUCGAUAGGUAGGCUUGCCCAUACUCUGGUCUGAUCAGUGUGUUGCAACCAUAGCCAACGUGUUUGAAGUGCCAUGCCAGCUAUAGAGAAGUUUUUGACCCCAAGUUCACUAGAAGAUUUUGGCUGACAAAUAUAAUGCCAAGCCACUACCGCCUUCCCAUUUGUUGAGUUAUCUGAGCCUGUCCAAAAGAAUAUACGAGCAAUGGUAUUAAUUCCUUUCUUAACCCAAGUAGGAACUUGCUCAGCCAUCAACGCAAAAUUUGGAAGUUCCAGCAGUGUGGAUUGAAUUAGAAUAAGGUGACCACUUUUUUCUAACAAGGAUCUUGCCAAGCUGGUAGUUUUUUGGCCACUUUAUCAACUAUAGGUCGAAGGUGGGAAUUUGGAAUCAUUCUAGUUGAUAGCGGCAACUCCAAGGUUAGUUUGGUAGCCACAAAAUCGAAGGGGAUUUUGAAUAAAGAAGUGAUUUUAGUCUCUCUAAUCUCUUCCGGUUUUUAAACUCCUAAACUAGGCCUAAAUAUUUGAUCGGGGUCGAAAAGAGCUAGCAGUUAAAAAUACGAGGAAUUAGCACAAAACUUUCUAUAUUAGAGUGGUUUGGUACUAACACAUAGACAUUAAAGUCGAUACGUUCAGAUAAGAUCUCAAUUGGUUGGCCUGUGCUCUUGACGAUCCGAGUUGUGCCCGUCAUAAAAUCUCUCACCCAUGCAAGCAAAUCGCAUGAAAUUUAACGUAAGAAAAUGAAACUUGAGGCACCUAGAUGCAUCAUACAUGCAUGCUAUCAUCUCCGUACGAAACACCGCAAGGUCAUUUCCCUCUUUCCGUGCAGAAACUAGACUUGCUUCUGAGUGCAUCUAGAUGGUUAGGUUUUCAGAUCAAUAAGCUCUGUUACUAGGACACAUGAACAUACAAUAAGCUAGUGCUGCUGCUGUUUACAUCUUCGUUGCUCGUUGGACGGGUUAGCCAUUGCGAUUUGAUAUACACACACAUAUAGUAAUUUGCAUAUAGCAUAGAUAAUAAGCUAACAAAGAAACUUGUACAAUAUAGUUGUAUAUUAAUUAACUCCAAUAGACAUCACAAUAAUUUUUCAUAUAUGAUAUAUAUGGAGAAACAAGACUUACAUGAUUACAUCUCUGUUAACUUGAACUUGCUUCCACGAAGACCGCCCAAAUUAAAUGAUUCUAUUAUAUAUAAGAGAGCUAAUCUUCAUGGUCAAUUCCUUCUCAAUACAUAUGAUCAUAUAAAUUUGUGGAAAAUCAUAUUCUAUUCUAUUCUAUUCUAUUCUAUAAGCGUGUGUCGGUGCCCUGAAUAUGCUUUGGGCACUCAUUCCUGCUAUGUCAAAGUGAGACCCUAGUGGCCACCGUUGAAGAUCUCACGGGCAGCCGACCUAACAUGGGGCUGAGGCCCACCAUAUGGAGUCGUGGCUAGACCAGGUUCGUCUCUUGGGCUGGACGACCGUCUACAUCAAGCCCCAUAAAGGGAGGAACCGACAACUUCAAGUCUGGGAUCCUGCAUAUAGGACCAGGACCUCCUUGUGACCCGACGAAUCUCCGGACAAAGGGAUCCGGAUAGAACAUAAAGCCACGGAGGAGAAGGCACUCUCCGGUUACAGCACCAAGGCUUCAGAAUGGUUCCAAGAAUGGGAAAUAACACCCGAACCUCAGGCCACGUGAGGUCCGGUAUCGCCACGUAUCCAGGCGUGGGUGGCCGAAGCCCGGACCCCCUCGAGUGCGAUCCGGGCCCAUGAUCAGGGAAUGCUUGGGAAUACCAUGUCGUCGCUUAUUCUCGGGCCUAUCCCUUAUCCAGGCAGGGGCAUGAAGAGACGGAUGGAGAAGACGAGAUGACAUGAUCGUUACACCCUACGCACGAGAGCGUAUCAGGCUACACCGCAACCUACAUCAAGACCUGAGUUCCGAUUAGACGGGGCAAGGUGACAGGAUAAGGACGACAGAAGAUCGUGCAACGUCCAAGAAGGGAUACAGACUCAUGAAGAUCUAGCGUUGUCAGCUCUACCCAAUUGUUUCUCGUUCCAUAUUGUACUCUCUUAGGCCCAUCGGUCAGAGCCAAAACUCCCUUGUAUGUGCCUUCCUUGGACUAUAAAAGGGAGAGCACUUGCUCUGUAGCAGGGAGAGGUCAAUCUAACACUCGGACCUUCGACUCCCUAACUCUAAAGCAAUAUAACUCAUAGUGAAUGUGAGAUACUAUGCUCCGGUGGCCUGAAACGCUCUAAACCCUUGUGUUCUUGUGUCCAUCUAGAAGGCCAGACAAUCAACUAAACCUACUCCUCAUCAGAGUACCAGGGCGGAUGCAAUCUACCACCCGGCCGGAGGAUUCGCCCCUGCAACAACGUGUUUUGACAAUUUUUGUAGUUGAAAACACUAUCUUAGUGGUUGCAGGUUAGGCAAGAGGGACUACCAUUAAUCUUAAUAAUCUAUUAAUCCGUAGAACUUUUACCCAAUUUAAUGAGUCCUUUCAUCAGCGAGUGAUGGUAAUGUAUUUAGCUCUAGGUGAUGUAUACACCAAGCUGAUAAUGUGGAAGUUGGCGUUUUAAUUGGAACUUUCUUGAUUGAAAAAUCAGUGGUGUAACUUUGAUAUAUCAAAAGUGUCUGUUCUUGGAUUCAAAGAAACAGAGAGCGAUAAAAGCUCUAUCGCAAAGCUAAAACGAUCAUCUAACUCAAUUAGUUGUUGAUCAACCGUUACAUUAAACACAUCUACUUUAUAAUAGUGAAGAGUUACAGUGUUACCACGCUUGUCACUGUAUUACGUCGCCAUAGCAAGCUUGAUUCCAAUAUGCUCCAUCCAUCCACAGGACAGGAUUGUGAUAACUGAUGAGACCAAGAUAUGAGCCGGCGUUGUUAUCAUGGUGUCAUAUAUAGUUUACCUUCAUCCCCUACCGGCCUGAUGAUUCUGAGGAAGUGACGUGAUUCAACUGCAGCAUUAUAUGUUUCUUCUCUUAACAAUGUUUUUUUAUAAAAAAAAAGAACACAGAAGUUUGAUAAAUUUUGCAUGAAAAAGCAAUCCUGUCAAAUUGCUUUGAGAUUUAUGUGUUCAAAACAGCCUCGUCUUAGUUGCUAUUGCACCUUUACUCAUGUACUAGGUAGGGUGUUUGGUGCAUGCCGCAGGAUGCCGAGCCGUAGCUGAUUCGUGCCAAACAUUUGGAAGACUUGGGCAUAAAAAUACACUGAGCUUCGACGUCUCAGUUGCGGCAAGAUUAUACAUUUUGGCAUCUCUGGAUUGAAAUUCUUGUGUGUCGCAAGGAACACAGAACUCCGUUGCGUUUGUGCUAUUAUCAGGAAUUACAGGCAGAGUGGAGAAAAUGAGGAAAAAGAAUUAUAUAUAGCAGGAGCACCGCACCACCAAGGGGACUCAGGCUCAGCCAGCGAGGGCGUCGGCACCGGCGACGAUCUCGAGGAUCUCCCCGGUGAUCUUGGCCUGGCGCUGUCGGUUGUAGGCGAUGGAGAGGUUCUUGCGGAGCUCGAUGGCGUUGUCGGUGGCGCUGCUCAUGGCGCUCAUCCGGGCGGCGAGCUCGCUGGCGAGCGACUCCUGCAGGGCACGGAGGAUCUGGCUGUUGAGGUAGAGCGGGAGCAGCGCGUCCAGGAUCUGCACGGGGUCCUGCUCGAACUGCACCACGGGGGAGAAGGGCUGCGUCUCGAUCUUCACCUUCUCGCGCUCCACGGUGAGCUUCCCCUCCUUGGUGGUGAGGCGGAAGAGCUCGUCCUCGGUGGCGUCCACGCAGACGCCGUUGACGUCGCAGAUCUCGCCCUUGGGCGACAUGGGGAGCAGCGUCUGGAUGAUGGGGUCGGAGCGCACCAGCGACACGAACUUGGAGUAGAGCAGCUCCACCUUGUCCACCUCCUCGGAGACGAAGAGCGAGUAGACGAGGUCGCAGAUGGCCUGCGAGUCCUUGACGGUGGGCACGCUGCUCACCUCUAGAUCGCGCUCCAACGGGAUGUAGGGGCGGCGCUGGAAGUAGGCGUUGCCCUUCUUCCCCACGCUGACGACGGUGUACUGGAGGCCCAGCUGCUUGAGCUCAUCGAUGCGGGUUUCCGCCUUCUUGAGCACGUUGUUGUUGAAGCUCCCGCAGAGGCCGCGCUCGCCGGUCAGGACCACGAGGGCCACCUUCUUGACGGGGCGGGUGCGGGUGAGGGGCAGGUCGAUGUCCUCCGUCUGGAUCUCCUGGUUCAUGUUGUAGAGCACCUCCACCAGCGCCUCCGAGAAAGGGCGAGAGGAGACGACGGCCUCCUGCGCGCGCCGGACCUUGGCGGCGGCC